Long non-coding RNA from Chroicocephalus ridibundus (black-headed gull), 2940 nucleotides. RefSeq lists it as uncharacterized. The record is from RefSeq and is a predicted model, not a curated record. The transcript has 5 exons. NCBI's taxonomy places the organism in Eukaryota, Metazoa, Chordata, Aves, Charadriiformes, Laridae.
UUUCGCAUUUCUCUGGGAAAUGCAUGCUUCUGGCAGUCAGCUUGCAGUAUGUAUUUCAUAUGAAUGGAAUUUAUUUGCAGAUUUGUCCCGUUCAGUAUUUUAAAAGUGACUGGAACAGUGAGUUUUGUGCACAACGGAGGCUGCUUCUAAGUAGAAUUGCUUGGCCUGCCCGUUCGGCCACGCUUGUGUUUUAGGAGGCGCAUGGAGCAAAUUGUUCCCCGCGGAAGCUUUGCAGUAGCCUGGGGAGGCAGCCGAUGGCGGGCUGCGAUGCUCACGCUGGAGCUGGAUCCGUUAUGGUUAUUAAUAAAGCAGGAAGAAUGUUGCAAAAAAACAAGUACAAGAAAAAAAGCUGAUGAGGAUGAAGACACAAAGAAACUCCUUUUCUUGAAGAGGAAUGUCCUAAUUUUGGAAUUAAGUUCUCCGAGAUCUUCCCUCUUCCAUCAGAUUUGUUAGACCUGGCCAACGAACUCCAAGGGUGGGAGGGAGAGAUGGAUAGAGCACAGUCCUCAGGACAGAACAAGCCUUGGUUCCCUGAACAGGAGAGAAAUUGCCAAAAAGCUGAACUUGUCAGCAGAACGGGAAGCAGAAAAUUCAGUGGUGUUCUCUGUGAAGUGCAGUGCUUGAGCCUUGAAAGCUGUAUUUGAUGAGAAGAGCCUGUUCCCAAGAGAAAUUCAUGAUCACGAACAAAAAAGCAAGGCAACUCUGUGAGCAAGUGUGCAGUGAAGGCAAGAUAAGAAGAAAUAAGAAGCAAGCAAAGCUGGAAGAAAAAUAAAGCUCCUCUUACAAAGGCAGUGUGCCCCCAGGUAAAGGCUGAGCUGAGUUACAGCCCCUCCGCUGACUAAAGAGGAUCAGAAGUUGCUGCUGGUUUCCUUUUCUAUGGGAAGAGAGAAAGGGGACAUGGUACAGAGCAAUCCCCCACGGACCCACGCAGGAUAAGAUCAUCACAAACCCUCCGUAAUAGAUUGGUUUCAAAUACAGAGCUCCGAACUCCGUUUCAAAAGUGGUUGCAAGGUAACCAAAAAUGUCAGGUAAAUUGGGAUAGAAGUGAGUAUUUCUUGAGGUCUCAUCGUCCCAUUAAACCAAAAUGUCGUUCCCUCCAUUAAUUUCUUACCGAAGGCAGACUCGGCAGCCUCUCGGUACAAAGCUGGCGCACACCUGUUGUGGGCCUUGAUGCAUUAAUCAAAUUGUUUUUCAUGAUAAGCUUGGCUGUGUCUGUGGUUUUGUCUUUAUUUUUCAAGGCAAACCUACUUAAAAACCGAACGGUGGGGAGGUGUGAUACUGUUUUCUAGGUAGUUUUACACUUUAAUCCUUUAAACGGCUUUUGCAAACAGUUAAUGUAUUAGUGAUGGUUAUUGACGUGAGACGGUGCUGCAACAGUAGUUAGUGACAGCUAUUAACACAAGAAAGCUAAAUAAUUUAAAUUGUGUUUGGUAUUACCACUGCCUAAAUCCAGGUUAUAUUUGCUUAAGCUUUCAGCAGCACACCAGAGCGGUAAGCGUGGGCAUCAUCUCUUUUCCCAGUUCGCUAUUGAUCUCAACAGAAGCUGUUUUGGAAAACUUGACUGAAUUAAAUAUAUAUUUAUCUCUGAAACAUAACAUGUUUGGGCACUGAUCCAAAGCCCAUUAAAGUAAAUGGGAAGAGUCCCAUUGGUUCUAUUUCUUUGCAGAUGAUGCAAGGUGCAGGUGAUAAACAGAAUUAUGGGUUUGGUGCAGGCUUCUCAAAAGAGCUGAAGUGAGAUGCUUUUAAAAUCCCUGCCUUCAGCUCCUUAAUGUGAUUGAAGUUUAUACUCUAGGUUAGCACAUUAGACAUAUCCUAUUUCUUUGUAUAGUGCUUGUCCAGUGAUAAAUAAGAUUCCCAUAAAAGAAAAUAAAUAUGCUGUGGCAGUUCUUUGAACGGAGGAAAAGGGGGUGUGGGUGCCAGCGAUCCUUUUGAAGUCACUAUCGGAAACUAGCAGUUCCAAAUGAAAGUUUGACUUGGUAAAUGUUACUUAAGGUCAGAGUUAUACCAGUAGCUUUUGUCAUUUUGACUUAAUUCUGGACAGAGGCACCAUACAAUUGAAAAUCCAGGUUGAUAUUUGCCAUGAGAGCCACUCUCUACUUGCAACAGAGUAUUUCAAAGUAAUUAAAAGAACGUAGGGGCUUGGUUGUGUGUUAAGAGUGACACAACGUUUGUGUAUGUAGGAUUUGCUACUCAAAUCAGGCAAGCAAGUCAAUCAUCAAACUUGUUUCCCAGGAGGGAAGAAACGCUCUAUUCUAAGUCGUGAAACAAUUUUCAUUGUGUCUCUGAGUGGGAUAUUUAAAGAAAUAUGUUUCCUUAAGUCAAGUGAUACUUGUAAGAAAGCCAUAAAUAUGAAUUGUAACUUUUACUUACAUGGAUUUUUGCAUGAUUAGAUCCGACAUCCGUUCAGAUGCAGAAGUUUACUUUAGGGGCUGAUAUACACGAAGUCCUGUUACAGGUCAGAGACAAUGCUCCCAACAGAUGUAGACAAGUUCCUUACAUAUGAGCUGAAGACAUUGAGCAAUAAAACUUCAGAAAAGUCAGCACUGUUUUAUCUGAUUUUCUCAGACAAGCGUUGUACUUUGAAGAUAAGUCAUUUUCCUGGUUUCAGUAAUUUAAUUGGUUUCAAUCAUUCGGAGAGGAAAAAGUGCAAUGAACUGUGCUAUAAUGACAAGUGCUUAAUAGCAAAGCUCUGCUUCCACUGUUAUUGGGAUGUCCCUGGCUUGGAGAUGAGCUCUGUCCCCGCGAUGCCGAGCGCUGGGCAGCUGGCGCUGGGUCUCCAUCAGGCCCUUCACCCUUCUGGGUCCUGCUCUAAGUCUUGAAAUGGGGUGGUGGGGGUUAGAGGAACAAGCACUUCAAACAAGCUGUUGAGAUGCUAAGGAAACACUGAUGGCAAGUAUCUCCUGAUCUGCUGUUGUCUGUACUGCAUAAUAAAGGUAUGGA